RNAcentral lists this ribosomal RNA (776 nucleotides) under uncultured Enterococcaceae bacterium. RNAcentral's name for it is "bacterial SSU rRNA". It matches the Rfam family "Bacterial small subunit ribosomal RNA", at positions 28 to 776 of the family's 1533-position model. The record is from RNAcentral. Lineage: Bacteria; Bacillati; Bacillota; Bacilli; Lactobacillales; Enterococcaceae.
GACGAACGCUGGCGGCGUGCCUAAUACAUGCAAGUCGAACGCUUUUUCUUUCACCGGAGCUUGCUCCACCGAAAGAAAAAGAGUGGCGAACGGGUGAGUAACACGUGGGUAACCUGCCCAUCAGAAGGGGAUAACACUUGGAAACAGGUGCUAAUACCGUAUAACAAGUAAAACCGCAUGGUUUUACUUUGAAAGGCGCUUUUGCGUCACUGAUGGAUGGACCCGCGGUGCAUUAGCUAGUUGGUGAGGUAACGGCUCACCAAGGCAACGAUGCAUAGCCGACCUGAGAGGGUGAUCGGCCACAUUGGGACUGAGACACGGCCCAAACUCCUACGGGAGGCAGCAGUAGGGAAUCUUCGGCAACGGACGAAAGUCUGACCGAGCAACGCCGCGUGAGUGAAGAAGGUUUUAGGAUCGUAAAACUCUGUUGUUAGAGAAGAACAAGGAUGAGAGUAAAAUGUUCAUCCCUUGACGGUAUCUAACCAGAAAGCCACGGCUAACUACGUGCCAGCAGCCGCGGUAAUACGUAGGUGGCAAGCGUUGUCCGGAUUUAUUGGGCGUAAAGCGAGCGCAGGCGGUUUCUUAAGUCUGAUGUGAAAGCCCCCGGCUCAACCGGGGAGGGUCAUUGGAAACUGGGAAACUUGAGUGCAGAAGAGGAGAGUGGAAUUCCAUGUGUAGCGGUGAAAUGCGUAGAUAUAUGGAGGAACACCAGUGGCGAAGGCGGCUCUCUGGUCUGUAACUGACGCUGAGGCUCGAAAGCGUGGGGAGCAAACAGG